RNAcentral lists this ribosomal RNA (279 nucleotides) under uncultured bacterium. Its description in RNAcentral is "partial 16S ribosomal RNA". It matches the Rfam family "Bacterial small subunit ribosomal RNA", at positions 506 to 784 of the family's 1533-position model. The record is from RNAcentral.
UGCCAGCAGCCGCGGUAAUACAGAGGGUGCAAACGUUGUUCGGAAUUACCGGGCAUAAAGCGCACGUAGGCGGCCAGGUAAGUGUGAAGUGAAAUCCCACGGCUCACCCGUGGAAUGGCUUUGCAUACUGCUUGGCUCGAGGAAGGUAGGGGAGAGCAGAACUCUUGGAGGAGCGGUGAAAUGCGUAGAUAUCAAGAGGAAUACCAGUGGCGAAGGCGGCUCUCUGGUCCUUUACUGACGCUGAGGUGCGAAAGCGUGGGGAGCAAACAGGAUUAGAUA